UACGUAGGCAGCAAGCGUUACUCGGAAUUACUGGGCGUAAAGGGCGCGUAGGUGGUUUGUUAAGUCUGCUGUGAAAUCCCCGGGCUCAACCUGGGAAUGGCAGUGGAUACUGGCAAGCUAGAGUGCGGUAGAGGGUAGUGGAAUUCCCGGUGUAGCAGUGAAAUGCGUAGAGAUCGGGAGGAACACCAGUGGCGAAGGCGGCUACCUGGACCAGCACUGACACUGAAGCACGAAAGCGUGGGGAGCAAACAGG
RNAcentral lists this ribosomal RNA (253 nucleotides) under uncultured bacterium. RNAcentral describes it as "partial 16S ribosomal RNA". It matches the Rfam family "Bacterial small subunit ribosomal RNA", at positions 524 to 776 of the family's 1533-position model. The record is from RNAcentral.